RNAcentral lists this ribosomal RNA (499 nucleotides) under uncultured bacterium. Its description in RNAcentral is "partial 16S ribosomal RNA". It matches the Rfam family "Bacterial small subunit ribosomal RNA", at positions 28 to 523 of the family's 1533-position model. The record is from RNAcentral.
GAUGAACGCUGGCGGCGUGCCUAACACAUGCAAGUCGAGCGAGAAGUUUGAAAAAUGAGUUUUCGGACAAGUGAUUCAAACGGAAAGCGGCGGACGGGUGAGUAACGCGUAGGCAAUCUGCCCCGUGCAGAGGGACAGCCUCGGGAAACCGGGAUUAAGACCUCAUGAUAUCGGGUUAUCACAUGGUAAUCCGGUCAAAGAUUUAUCGGCAUGGGAUGGGCCUGCGUCUGAUUAGCUGGUUGGUGGGGUAACGGCCUACCAAGGCGACGAUCAGUAGCAGAACUGGGAGGUUCAUCUGCCACAUUGGAACUGAGACACGGUCCAAACUCCUACGGGAGGCAGCAGUGAGGAAUAUUGCACAAUGGGCGAAAGCCUGAUGCAGCAACGCCGCGUGAGCGAAGAAGGCCUUUGGGUCGUAAAGCUCUGUCCUUGGGGAAGAAACAAAUGACGGUACUCUUGGAGGAAGCCCCGGCUAACUACGUGCCAGCCGCCGCCGUAA